GCUCGUUAUAGUGUGACCGGCUGUUGGGCCGUGGGGACGCGCCGCUCUACCUGCAGCCCUGCAGGCUGGGGGUGCUGUGUCCCUGAGGCAGUGGUCUGGUUCUGGUGCUGGUCCCCUUCAUGGUUUUCUUUUUCUUUGGAGUGUGAGUGCAGUGUCAGUGUUUUUAUUUAGCGGAUUUCUACUUUUGGUUUGUCCCGGCCACCUGCGUGAUGUCUCAUAAACACUGCCAGCAGCAGAUUUCCAGCGAGGCGACAACAGGACGUGUCUCCAAGCACUGGCUCGACUAACAAAUUGACUCUUUGUUUUAUUGGUC
This is a long non-coding RNA of Larimichthys crocea (large yellow croaker), 313 nucleotides long. RefSeq lists it as uncharacterized. Lineage: Eukaryota; Metazoa; Chordata; Actinopteri; Sciaenidae. The record is from RefSeq and is a predicted model, not a curated record. The transcript is spliced from 3 exons.